UCAGAUCCCCUUCAUUCCUCGGGGUUGUAUAUAUAUAAACAAACACUGGCCCAGUUAUCCAAUCAAAAAAACAGCCUCGGCAGUCUACGACGCCUCCAUUAGAACAAAUUCAUCAGAUGGCUGUAGCUGCCACCAUUUAUUGGUCCUCAAGGUCGUUUUUUAUUUUUGGGCUUAACCCAGGUCAACCCACUUGGAUCGAGCCUUGUCGGUCAACCCUUUUGACCCAACGUCCACCCGACUAGUUCCGUUGACCGGUGAUGGGGGCUAGCGAUUUGUGUGGAAAGUUAGUUGUUCUGAUGGGGUCUAACUCGUGCUUUCCCAGCCGGCAAUAAUUUGUCAAAUGCGGCAUUCAGACGAAAGUUUCCCAUCAAAGAACCACAGAUCUAAAGAGAGACGAAAUGCUCGGCUCUGUACAUUUUUAGCAUCAAUAGGAGGAAAAUUUUCCGUUGAUUUGUGAAAAAUGGUGAUUUUUAUGAUUAACUGAUCCAGAAUCAAAUUCCACAUAAAUUUCCAUAGUUUAUUAACGUAAGAAUCAGGAUUCUCAUUAAUGAUACUAAAAUAGUAUAACUAGAUCUAUAGAAAUUUCAUCCACGUAAUUGACCUCAAAUUUGCUAAUUAUGCCAGAUUAAUUUUUUGGGAUAAUUUAAUAUUUUAUAAGAGUGAUUCAUGAGUUUCCAACCAGUUCAGGCUCUAGGAUUCACGAAAGCAAUCCCGAUGGAUCCAACAACUGCUAGAAGAAUUCAUCGACGUAAAGUCUUACAAUUUCAAUGCGAACAAAAAAAAACGAAUAGCAAGUAGAUCUCGAAAAGUCACGAAAUUGAAGAUCUUCAAAGUUGGGUUUACGGCUGUUUGACCCAGAUUGAGCCUCGGAAGAGCUAAAUCAAAUAAAUCAGUGAUCGUAUUUUCAAAAGGCAAGACGAACGAUCGAGUAAUACCAUUUUGAUCUUUACCAGGAGAUCACGAUCUCGCCAAUAAGAAGAGGUGACGAAUCGCCACGAGGAAGGGGUGACGAAUCGUUCAGCCGAGAGCUCUCAGGGACAGGCCAGAGUUUUCCACAGAAGAAGCAAACGCAGCCUCAAGCUAGGACCUGCCACCCCAGCGCCUUCUCCACUCCACGGGAUCAGGUCUCCCUUCUGGCAGGGCUUACCAUAGACUUCCCCCUCGACUCCGCACAGCAAUGGACAGAUUGAAGGGAUCAGGCGGUUUCCCGCCCAACUUUCACCGCCAUUGCAUGCGCGGAGAAGACGGAUCACGAGGCAAAAAGCAAGCUCAGGCGCAGAAGGGAAUCCAAGGAACCCCGCGGAGACAGGUCGUCGCUAGGGGGGAGGGCCUCCCCGUCGUCGGCCGGCGCCCUUCCAUUCGGUGUGGUUAAAGCAGAGAUCAUCAUCGAGCUCCGGCUAGCGUCGAGAAAGACCAAAAACCUUGACAUAAUUCGAGAUAUCAGAUAAAAACUUCCGAUUCAUGUAGAGCCCUCGAGAAAAUGCGAUGGCGUCCAUUGAAGAGAAGGAACCUGCAUGUCCAACGGACUCCUUCGAUCUCGCACCAUUUCCCUCUCCCUGCUCCGCCAUCCCAUCGGGACGAGAAGCGGAUAAAGAGAGGCAACAGAUCUAGAAGAUGCUUACAAAAAUCCACCAAAAAAUCGAAUCGACGUCGAAGAACACUGUACAGAACGAGCAAGGGGCGAGGAGAGAACCAACCGAGAUCGGAGGAGAUGAACUGCGC
Molecule: long non-coding RNA, 1722 nt
Filed under: Spirodela polyrhiza (greater duckweed)
Lineage: Eukaryota; Viridiplantae; Streptophyta; Magnoliopsida; Alismatales; Araceae
Description: long non-coding RNA (SPOL_LNC001215)
Source: RNAcentral